ACCUGGCUAGCUCAGUCAGUAGAGCAUGUGACUCUUGAUCUCGGGGUUGUGAGUUCCAGACCCACUUUGGGUG
RNAcentral lists this transfer RNA (73 nucleotides) under Ailuropoda melanoleuca (giant panda). It matches the Rfam family "tRNA". From Rfam's summary of the family: Transfer RNA (tRNA) molecules are approximately 80 nucleotides in length. Their secondary structure includes four short double-helical elements and three loops (D, anti-codon, and T loops). Further hydrogen bonds mediate the characteristic L-shaped molecular structure. tRNAs have two regions of fundamental functional importance: the anti-codon, which is responsible for specific mRNA codon recognition, and the 3' end, to which the tRNAs corresponding amino acid is attached (by aminoacyl-tRNA synthetases). tRNAs cope with the degeneracy of the genetic code in two manners: having more than one tRNA (with a specific anti-codon) for a particular amino acid; and 'wobble' base-pairing, i.e. permitting non-standard base-pairing at the 3rd anti-codon position. Lineage: Eukaryota; Metazoa; Chordata; Mammalia; Carnivora; Ursidae. The record is from Rfam by way of RNAcentral.